UCCUGUUUCUAUACUCCGAGAUCUAGGCUAGCCUGAUGGGGAAGUCGCAAGUUCUCUAAUGCGGUUUGAAUCGUUUGCUGGCCACCCACGUGUUAGGAUCGAACCCGUGUUCAGACUGUAGGUGGUGGAGAGCGGUGUUCCGGCGGAGGGAAUCGGGCCCUGGGGCUGUUGAAUUCAAAACAGGCUGAAAAUGGAAUUGAUUUUCUGGGAGGAAACAAUUGCUUUGGACCAGUGCCAUGUUCCAGAUAUGGGGAGCAAUGAGCUGAUGGUGAAGAGGCUGGAGACUGAAUCCCCAACCCCACAAAACGAUUGGGGCUGAAGAGGACAAAUGAAGUAACUGAAUCUUGAAAAUGGGCUGAAAUGAAACAUCCUGGACCUGAGCACACAGGACAGUAAGGGGUAAGAGUCUCCUACUGAGUAGGGCCUUAAAGAAAAGGGACUGAGUGGUUUUACAGCCUACAUGAGCUGAGUUAAGGAUAAUCAGCUCCUGUGCUUUCAGGGCUUGCUCUGAUCUCUGUGAGGGGUAGUGGGGAGUAGUCAGAGGUGUGUUGCUGGAGGUAUUGGGUGACCAGAUGUCCCGAUUUUAUAGGGACAGUCAUGAUUUUUGGGUCUUUUUCUUGUAGAGGCUCCUGUUACCUCCCCGCCCCCUGUCCUGAUUUUUCACACUUGCUGUCUGGUCACCCUAUGGAGGCAGGAUGCUUGACUUGAUGGGCCCAUCCACUGUUUUAUUAGUAGUUAUAUUACACUGUUGCCUAGAGGCCUUACUGUGCUGGAGGUUGUAGAGUCACUUAAAGAGACCAUCCCUGUCCCAAAGAUAUUUUGUUGGCUUUGUCUGCUUAGGUUAUAAAGGAUGGAAGACAGGAAGUAUCAGCAUUACAGAUGAGGAGAGCUGAAGGCUGAGAUUUUUCAAAGGAGCCCAGUGGAGUUAGGCACCCAAACCAGAGAUUUUAAAGGACUUAUUUGAGGUCACCCAGGGAGCCUGUGGCAGAGCUGAAAACUGAGCCCAGAUGUCCCAGUCCAGAGCCUUAACCACACAACUAUCUUGAGGAUGGGUGUUGAUUGGAGACCCGGCCCACAAGACAUUUCUUCUCAGACCCAUGAGACCCUUCUGUGCUUUGUCACUGGUAGUGUCACAGCUGGGUCUGAGGGCGUGGGUGGAGUCUGCCAUGAGUAUAUUCAAUCCGUCUUUCACCUGAUAACACAUGCCCUGAGCAGACCCCACUGCAUUGCGGAUGGAGAAACGCAUUAACUCCCUCUCCCAUUUUGAGCCUGCAAUGAAAUCUAGUAGAUGUGGUUAAGGUUUAACGCCUAGAGGAACCAUUAUAACUAGAUAGACUGACUCCCUGCAUCGUAGGGAACAUAGAAAGUCACAGAGCAAUCCCCACUAUGACUCCCUGACUCCUUCCUAUUUCUAAAACUCAACCAUUAUCCCCCCUAUCCCUGCAUGCUGCUUUUAAAUAGUUCCCUGCACUAGCCCUUCUCACCUCACUGCGUCUCCAGGCAACUUCACUGUGCCAUUUCCCUGGCUGGAACUGCUGUGCCCUUAGAAGCUGCUCGUAUGGCCUUAUUGAAAAGCCAGAUCUUUAUAGGCCAGACGAAACUGUUAGAUUGCCUAGUCUGAGCUCCAGUUUAAUACCAGCUGGAGAACUUCACCUAGCGAUCCCGCUGAUUGUAUUUGAGUAACACAUCCCUCCUAGAAAGGCAUCCGUCUAAUUUUUCAGCGUCCUUAUUAAAAUUUGGACACCAGAACUGGAUGCGAUAAUCCAGUAUCAGACUCACCAGUGCCAUAUACAUGGGUGAAAUCGCCUCCCUGCUUCUACUGGCUAGUACCUGUUUAUGCAUGUGGGGAUUUUAUCUGUCGUCUUUUUGCAGGUGGAGUUGGGAAGCUCGGGAGCCCAUGUUGGAACAUGAGGCAGUUGGAUGAGGAAGCAGCUAAAAUUCUCAACCACUUGAGGUUUCAGAGUCCUGGGUGGUGGUUUGUGUGUGGGAGGGGCAGCCACAUUGCCACUUGUAGGACUUGGAGGGGUCUGCUGUGAUGAACUGCAUGUUCAGUCCAUGUUUCACCUGAUCUACCCUGAUUACACACAUGCCCUGAGCAGACUAAUGAAACAAACAUCUGUAGCUGAGGUCUGACUUGGGGGAAAGCUGAUCUUCUAAUGGUCUCCAAUGCAACCAUAAGUCCCAGACAGUGAGGAGAAUAAGUAGCAGAUCCAUGCAAACUCUUCAGAAACUUGGUUCUGGUUUUUGUGCAAAUGAAAAGAGUAUAGAUGCAAGGAAAAGUUUUCCAUGUAGUUGAUAGCUUUUUUUUUUUUCUUCCCUUCUUUCUCUCUCUCUCUCUCUCCAUUGACUUGGAAAUAUUUCCUCCUUGUAUCUCUAGGGGCAGGAACUCUAAAAACAAAAUUGGAUGGUUUCUCCUCCCUCCUCACCCUGGAUCCCUUAUAGGAAUCACAGAUGGAUGAUUUUGAGAUGAGCCUUCAAGGAAAAUGUAUCUUUCUCUCCAUCAAUGUCAACUGUAAGAGAGAAUUUGGGCCCUGAAAAUAAAAGUUUUGGCCUCUCUCUGACCUGUAUUACAAGGACUCUUCAAAGUUAUGUCUAGGAAAGUCUGUACUAAAAACAGGAUUAAACUAGAAUGGAUGUGUAAAAGUUGGGUAUUUUUUGUAAAAACGUUCAGUGGUAGAACUGAGGAAGAAAUGGAGCUUUUUCAACUGUAAUCCACUGGUCUGAAUUCAGCCCAGUUUUUUCAGGGAAUAUUUGAGGUGCUGAGGGCCAAGAAUCUAUUGAUUUUGGAGAAAAUUGGAAAACUGAAGGGGAAAGUGGAGAGGGAGAGAGAGCUGGAUGGAUACACAGAGCCCCUGCUAGCUGUGUAGCACAACUGCAGAUUCAAGCAACUCAGCAAUUAACUAUAGACUCAAGAACUGGUUAAUGGCAGCCAUUAACCCCUUUUCCCCCAUAACAAUGCCCCUAUCUAAUGUGUGUGUCCUGCUGUCAUAAACAGAUAGCUAAAGGUUAAUGUCUCUUUCACCUGUAAAGGGUUAACAAACAGUGACCUGCAAC
This is a long non-coding RNA of Gopherus evgoodei (Goodes thornscrub tortoise), 3054 nucleotides long. RefSeq lists it as uncharacterized. The record is from RefSeq and is a predicted model, not a curated record. Lineage: Eukaryota; Metazoa; Chordata; Testudines; Testudinidae. The transcript is spliced from 5 exons.